UGUAGCAAUACAGCAGUGGCAGACGGGUGAGUAACACGUGGGAACCUUCCUAGGGGUACGGAACAACUCAGGGAAACUUGAGCUAAUACCGUAUACGUCCGUAAGGAGAAAGAUUUAUCGCCCCUAGACGGGCCCGCGUAGGAUUAGGUAGUUGGUGAGGUAACGGCUCACCAAGCCUACGAUCCUUAGCUGAUCUGAGAGGAUGAUCAGCCACACUGGGACUGAGACACGGCCCAGACUCCUACGGGAGGCAGCAGUGGGGAAUCUUGGACAAUGGGCGCAAGCCUGAUCCAGCCAUGCCGCGUGAGUGAAGAAGGCCUUCGGGUUGUAAAGCUCUUUUACCAGGGACGAUAAUGACGGUACCUGGAGAAUAAGCCCCGGCAAACUUCGUACCAGCAGCCGCGGUAAUACGAAGGGGGCUAGCGUUGUUCGGAAUUACUGGGCGUAAAGCGCACGUAGGCGGAUUGUUAAGUCAGAGGUGAAAUCCCGGAGCUCAACUUCGGAACUGCCUUUGAUACUGGCAAUCUAGAGUCCGGAAGAGGUUAGUGGAAUUCCCAGUGUAGAGGUGAAAUUCGUAGAUAUUGGGAAGAACACCAGUGGCGAAGGCG
Molecule: ribosomal RNA, 608 nt
Filed under: uncultured bacterium
Lineage: Bacteria
Description: bacterial SSU rRNA
Rfam family: Bacterial small subunit ribosomal RNA
Source: RNAcentral